ACUUGGGAUGCAAGGAAAGAUACACCUGUGUAUCCUCACUCAUGACUUCUCAGGAGGCUUUUUCGCUCCUCAUUGCAAGCAUCCUCGAGGUGCAAUUAAAGAACUGAGAUGUCCUGCAAGACAGCUGAGCUCGAUCGGUUUCCGGGUCACGGGCUGGAGGACAGAGGAGCGAGGGAAUUGAAGAGCACCCAAUCUGUUUGUCUGAACAGGGAUGUUACUAGACCAAAACAAUUGACGAACAGAAAUCAAGACUCAUCAGACCAGGCAACAUUUUUCCAGUCUUCAACUGUCCAAUUUUGGCUUCAAGAACUCCACAUCCCAUCAGACGGCAAGCCCCGAAGCAUUUUAUUCAGAAAAAAACCUGUCGGAGUGACACAUUAAGAACAAACUGGAAAAGACAACCCAAAAUCCAGUGCUCAGCUUAAAGCACGAGGAGAAGUCGCUGACGCCAGCAACGGGUGAAAUACAGAAGAGCCCACACUCUUUCACACUGGCUUAAGCGUUCAUCUUUGUCAAUCAUCCUCAAACACUUUCUGUGGGGUAUCUCUGCUGGACACCUGCAAACAAACCAUUCUGGAGCAAGGAGGUGACAGACUCGCCCUUCAGAGCUUAAUCUGCAUGCAGCAAAAGAAAAGGCCGGAAGUAUAGUCUGUUUUUACGUGUACACAAACGCGGUCGAACGCACAGCCUUGCAAAGUAUAGUUUGACUUGUACGUUUGACGCAUACGCAUUCUCCUGCAUGUACGGAUUAUGCGUACAAUGUACAUGGGGUUUAAAAAUCCGGCGGUGCACAAUGGUACAGAGGUUACCAUCAAAUGUAUCAUUUACAUUUAAAGUUGGGUCUGAGUGUUUGAGCUUGCUUUUCAUGUUUAUUUAAAUUGUCUUAUAAUCUAUCUGCAUAUCAGAAACACUUGUUUUUAGCGACACUGGUGGCCAUUAAGUGAACUGCAGCCAGUAAU
Paramisgurnus dabryanus is the source of this 959-nucleotide long non-coding RNA. RefSeq lists it as uncharacterized. NCBI's taxonomy places the organism in Eukaryota, Metazoa, Chordata, Actinopteri, Cypriniformes, Cobitidae. The record is from RefSeq and is a predicted model, not a curated record.